RNAcentral lists this long non-coding RNA (893 nucleotides) under Cavia porcellus (domestic guinea pig). RNAcentral describes it as "lncRNA (ENSCPOG00000036081.1)". The record is from RNAcentral. Lineage: Eukaryota; Metazoa; Chordata; Mammalia; Rodentia; Caviidae.
GGAAGGUUGGGCCUGAAGCCCGCUUCGCCAUCCAGGUGUAGAAGUAGUUCCGCGCUCCGCGUUUUGCAGACCGCCGCGGUGUCGGAGGCGAGGCGAGGAAGGGAGCUGGAAUAACAAAGGGCUGGAGAGAUCACUCCUUCCACCGGCGGGAGAGAGGAGGCAACAUGAAUUCAUUCCCAAGGCUCUGGUAGUCUGACAGCCGGUGAACUCAGCCUGGAAUUCAUGAGGGCUCCGAGGCUGCAGCUCGGGGCCCCAGGGACUUGAUGUGUCUGUGUGCGGGUGGGGAACCUGUUUGAUUUUCCCAGGGGAAGCCCUGCCUUAUCCUGCCACUGGGCGCUAGGGAAGGUGCUCCUUUGCAGCCUCCCCGUCUUCCGAUCUGAUCCGGCACACAAGGAAUGGACUGUUACUGCCGCUGCUCCCCCACCCACCACAGAUGUGAUACUGUUCGGUGGGACCCAGUGAGAAGCCAGUGCCAUCAUCCUUCCUCGAUCAGGCUGCUUUAUGCCUGGAGAAGUACUCAUACCUGUAGUCUUCUCUCAGAUCUGCUCUGCCUCCAGCCGUCUCCAGAGGAGGAUGCACAUGAAGAUAUAUUACAUAUUCUUCUGUUACUGAUCAACAUCACAGCUGCAGAACUAUUCAAUGAAUGAUUAAAUAUCAGAGAAACUGAACUGGUCAGCAUCAGCAUAUGUAUGGACAGAGUAGCUACCAUGAAUGGAUGGCUUUCUGGUUUCACUAUUCUGGUCAAAAAGGUGACUUCCGAAUGUGAGUCUACACACUGUGUCAUUCAAAGAGGAAUCUGAAAAUGUGCAAAAAAUGUCAUCUGAAUUUAACAGUAUUUUGCAGAAUGUGAAUAAAAUUAUCAAGUGUAUUAAAGAACAUGCUCUCUACUUAUA